AUGGCUCGGGAUGAACGCUAGCUACAGGCUUAACACAUGCAAGUCGAGGGGAAACGACAUCGAAAGCUUGCUUUUGAUGGGCGUCGACCGGCGCACGGGUGAGUAACGCGUAUCCAACCUGCCCACCACUUGGGGAUAACCUUGCGAAAGUAAGACUAAUACCCAAUGACGUCUCUAGAAGACAUCUGAAAGAGAUUAAAGAUUUAUCGGUGAUGGAUGGGGAUGCGUCUGAUUAGCUUGUUGGUGGGGUAACGGCCCACCAAGGCGACGAUCAGUAGGGGUUCUGAGAGGAAGGUCCCCCACAUUGGAACUGAGACACGGUCCAAACUCCUACGGGAGGCAGCAGUGAGGAAUAUUGGUCAAUGGGCGAGAGCCUGAACCAGCCAAGUAGCGUGCAGGAUGACGGCCCUAUGGGUUGUAAACUGCUUUUAUAAGGGAAUAAAGUGAGUCUCGUGAGGCUUUUUGCAUGUACCUUAUGAAUAAGGACCGGCUAAUUCCGUGCCAGCAGCCGCGGUAAUACGGAAGGUCCGGGCGUUAUCCGGAUUUAUUGGGUUUAAAGGGAGCGUAGGCCGGAGAUUAAGCGUGUUGUGAAAUGUAGACGCUCAACGUCUGCACUGCAGCGCGAACUGGUUUCCUUGAGUACGCACAAAGUGGGCGGAAUUCGUGGUGUAGCGGUGAAAUGCUUAGAUAUCACGAAGAACUCCGAUUGCGAAGGCAGCUCACUGGAGCGCAACAGACGCUGAAGCUCGAAAGUGCGGGUAUCGAACAGGAUUAGAUACCCUGGUAGUCCGCACGGUAAACGAUGGAUGCCCGCUGUUGGUCUGAAUAGGUCAGCGGCCAAGCGAAAGCAUUAAGCAUCCCACCUGGGGAGUACGCCGGCACCGGAGCA
This 889-nucleotide ribosomal RNA is filed under the name uncultured Bacteroidota bacterium. Its description in RNAcentral is "bacterial SSU rRNA". It matches the Rfam family "Bacterial small subunit ribosomal RNA", at positions 19 to 898 of the family's 1533-position model. Lineage: Bacteria; Pseudomonadati; Bacteroidota. The record is from RNAcentral.